UACGGGGGGAGCAAGCGUUGUUCGGAUUUACUGGGCGUAAAGGGCGCGUAGGCGGCCAGCACAAGUCAGUUGUGAAAUCUCCGAGCUUAACUCGGAAAGGUCAACUGAUACUGUGCGGCUAGAGUGCGGAAGGGGCAACUGGAAUUCUUGGUGUAGCGGUGAAAUGCGUAGAUAUCGAGAGGAACACCUGCGGCGAAGGCGGGUUGCUGGGCUGAUACUGACGCUGAGGCGCGAAAGCCAGGGGAGCGAACGGG
Molecule: ribosomal RNA, 254 nt
Filed under: uncultured bacterium
Lineage: Bacteria
Description: partial 16S ribosomal RNA
Rfam family: Bacterial small subunit ribosomal RNA
Source: RNAcentral